RNAcentral lists this ribosomal RNA (369 nucleotides) under uncultured Gammaproteobacteria bacterium. RNAcentral describes it as "bacterial SSU rRNA". It matches the Rfam family "Bacterial small subunit ribosomal RNA", at positions 1027 to 1395 of the family's 1533-position model. The record is from RNAcentral. Lineage: Bacteria; Pseudomonadati; Pseudomonadota; Gammaproteobacteria.
UCUAGUGACAGGUGCUGCAUGGCUGUCCUCAGCUCGUGUCGUGAGAUGUUGGGUUAAGUCCCGUAACGAGCGCAACCCUUGUCCUUAGUUGCCAGCACAUAAUGGUGGGAACUCUAAGGAGACUGCCGGUGACAAACCGGAGGAAGGUGGGGACGACGUCAAGUCAUCAUGGCCCUUACGACCUGGGCUACACACGUGCUACAAUGGCCAGUACAGAGGGCUGCAAGCCCGCGAGGGGGAGCUAAUCUCACAAAGCUGGUCGUAGUCCGGAUCGCAGUCUGCAACUCGCCUGCGUGAAGUUGGAAUCGCAAGUAAUCGUGAAUCAGAAUGUCACGGUGAAUACGUUCCCGGGCCUUGUACACACCGCCC